This 464-nucleotide ribosomal RNA is filed under the name uncultured bacterium. RNAcentral's name for it is "SSU rRNA". It matches the Rfam family "Bacterial small subunit ribosomal RNA", at positions 26 to 518 of the family's 1533-position model. The record is from RNAcentral.
AGGAUUAACGCUGGCGGCGUGCCUAACACAUGCAAGUCGAACGAGGUAGCAAUACCUAGUGGCAGACGGGUGAGUAACGCGUGGUCAACCUACCGUUGAGUGGGGGAUAACUAGCCGAAAGGUUAGCUAAUACCGCAUACGAGUCUCGGGGGCAUCCCUGAGCCUUAAAAGGAGCAAUCCGCUCGAUGACGGGACCGCGUCCCAUUAGCUAGAUGGUGGGGUAACGGCCUACCAUGGCACCGAUGGGUAGCUGGUUUGAGAGAGCGACCAGCCACACUGGGACUGAGAAACGGCCCAGACUCCUACGGGAGGCAGCAGUGAGGAAUUUUCCGCAAUGGGCGAAAGCCUGACGGAGCGACGCCGCGUGUGGGAAGGAGGCCUUCGGGUCGUAAACCACUGUCGAAGGGGACUAUACUGAAGGUACCCUUGGAGGAAGCCCCGGCUAACUACGUGCCAGCAGCCGC